CAAAGUCAACAACAUCUGAUGUAAGAGGCUCCAACAAAGAGAUGGCCUCACUCAAACCAGUACCAGCACAGGAAAUCCCUACUGCUAGGGCUGCACCAUAACGGACAUGUGGAUUGUAGGACUCUGAGAGGAGGGAGACAAUUCUCGGUGUCUGCUCAGGCUCAUUAUACAGCACAAAACCAAGGGCUAGAACAGCUGUUCUUCGAACAUCAUCACUGACAUCCGAUACAGCAAAAUGGAGCAAUUGAUGGAUAGCCUUGUUGUUUGCUGUCCCCCGAUAUGCCAAUGCCAAAGCAUACAUACCACCAUAACGGAGUAUCGG
Molecule: unclassified non-coding RNA, 322 nt
Filed under: Hevea brasiliensis (rubber tree)
Lineage: Eukaryota; Viridiplantae; Streptophyta; Magnoliopsida; Malpighiales; Euphorbiaceae
Source: RNAcentral